AAACUUUCAACAACGGAUCUCUUGGUUCUGGCAUCGAUGAAGAACGCAGCGAAAUGCGAUAAGUAAUGUGAAUUGCAGAAUUCAGUGAAUCAU
This 93-nucleotide ribosomal RNA is filed under the name Pseudogymnoascus destructans. RNAcentral describes it as "partial 5.8S ribosomal RNA". It matches the Rfam family "5.8S ribosomal RNA", at positions 1 to 92 of the family's 154-position model. From Rfam's summary of the family: 5.8S ribosomal RNA (5.8S rRNA) is a component of the large subunit of the eukaryotic ribosome. It is transcribed by RNA polymerase I as part of the 45S precursor that also contains 18S and 28S rRNA. Functionally, it is thought that 5.8S rRNA may be involved in ribosome translocation. RNAcentral also lists the same sequence under 1 other name. The record is from RNAcentral. Lineage: Eukaryota; Fungi; Ascomycota; Leotiomycetes; Thelebolales; Thelebolaceae.